CACUACGUUGACAUCGUAGGGGUCACAGGUUCAAUCCCUGUCGCGUCCA
Molecule: transfer RNA, 49 nt
Filed under: Caulobacter sp. UNC279MFTsu5.1
Lineage: Bacteria; Pseudomonadati; Pseudomonadota; Alphaproteobacteria; Caulobacterales; Caulobacteraceae
Description: tRNA_Val_GAC
Rfam family: tRNA
About the family: Transfer RNA (tRNA) molecules are approximately 80 nucleotides in length. Their secondary structure includes four short double-helical elements and three loops (D, anti-codon, and T loops).
Source: RNAcentral